UCCUCAAGUUAUGGAUGUUUAAGAAUCACUUCUUUAAAAAUGUUAUUAAAGAAUACGAGGUUACAAAAAUGAAGAAUGUUUUCUUAUAAAUAGUUUUUAUGGCUCCAUAACUUGUCCUCAAGUUAUGGAUGUUUAAGAAUCACUUCUUUAAAAAUGUUAUUAAAGAAUACGAGGUUACAAAAAUGAAGAAUGUUUUCUUAUAAAUAGUUUUUAUGGCUCCAUAACUUGUCCUCAAGUUAUGGAUGUCCAAGAGUUCCUUCAUUAAAAGUUUUUAAAACUUUAAUUAAACUCAUAAGUUAUGAAAAUCCAAGAGUUUUGAAUAGUUUCAAAACUUGCCCUCAAGUUUUGGAAUUUGUAAAGUUUUCCCAUGAAUAUUUUAAUUCCAAGUUAAGCCCUUAGAAUUUUAAAAGUUAAAAUUCAACUCUUAUACUUCAUAAUAUUAUAAGUUAAUAAUAUUUAUAUAUAUGUAUAAGAGCAAGUCGUCUUACCAUUAGUAGGCCUCAUUCAAGAAGCCGGUCUAUUAGGAGGGUAUAA
Molecule: long non-coding RNA, 534 nt
Filed under: Lactuca sativa (garden lettuce)
Lineage: Eukaryota; Viridiplantae; Streptophyta; Magnoliopsida; Asterales; Asteraceae
Description: long non-coding RNA (LSAT_LNC000617)
Source: RNAcentral